Camelina sativa (false flax) is the source of this 1851-nucleotide non-coding RNA. The record is from RefSeq and is a predicted model, not a curated record. NCBI's taxonomy places the organism in Eukaryota, Viridiplantae, Streptophyta, Magnoliopsida, Brassicales, Brassicaceae.
AAUGACAAACCCUCGUUUCAUAUUAUUUAACUUGGCUCCGAUCCGAUCAUCGUUGAAACAAGUCCGACCCGCCGGCGACGAUGGAUUUACAGCAAAAGCAGCGAUGCUGGAAACUUGAAGUCGAGGUUUUAGAUAGCGAUUCUUCAUGGAUCAGUGGAUUUGACCCUUCCAAGAAAAAGAAGAAGAAGAAGAAGAAGAAGAGCAAGCCUCUGUUCCAGGAAGGAGGACACUUUUUGGAGGAUAAUGCACCACACCGUCAAUCUUGCCAGAACUUUGAUGAGCCAGAUUAUGGCUACAAGGAGCUCUUGCGUAGGGCGUUUGAUAGGCUUCGUGAUGACGAUCUUGAGGCUUCUACAGAAAGGCCAAGAACAGUAAUGAUGCCUCCUCAUCUCCUUGCACAAGGGACGGUAACAGUUUGUUUAAACUUUGCUGAUCUCUGCAGAACGUACGACUUGUUCUAUUUCGUUAUUGAUCUUUCCUUUUUAACUCUACUUGUUGAGUCGACUGGUGUAUCACUCUUUAACAUACCUACCUUGUUCAGGAUGCAUAGGAAGCCAGAUCAUGUCAUGAAUUUCUUGCUUCUCCAAAUGGAGACAAAAGGAUUGUUGAACAAACAGCAACGGCUAGAGAUGAAGGGUUUAGUGUCUCAUAGGGAUUUUCAAGCUGUGUUACGGAGAUACAUUGAUGCGUUCGUAAUCUGCAUCUGCUGCAAAAGUCCUGACACAGCUCUCGGGGAAUAUAAUGGUCUCUUCACUCUCAGAUGUGAGAUGUGUGGUUUAGCAGCAUUGAUCGAUGUACCAAGUCCCCUAUGAAUAACUCAUCAAGAUAUGGAACUUAUAGAGCCACCUGCUGGGCAAGGUUCCGCUGUAAGGAGGAUUAUAUUGCUGAGACAGCACGCAAACGGUGCAAAUUUGCUGAGAGUAACGUGUCUUUUCUAUGCACGUAAUGUAAGAAAUCCUGAGAAAAAACGAAAAGAAACAAAACAAAAAAAAAGGAUGACUCAUCAGUCACUUCUCUAUGAAAUGACUUUAAAAGAUGGGUGGGUUGGUCCGAAGCUUGCACGGAAAAAUUGAAAUGGACAUGUCAGCUAACCCUAGUGGGUGCGCUUCGAAUCUUAGCUUGGCAGUGACAGAUUACUUUGGAACUGUCUCACGUAUCAGUCCUCUGAUUGAUAUCUCUCCAACAUGUGCUGAAACCUAGGACCCAUUCUCUUGCCUUGUUUAACUCAGAAGAAUCAGUAGGAGAAGAAGAAUGGGAGAUGGUUGAGAGGAAAGGGAUGCAAUUUACGCAAAAUGGACAACCGUUCUACGUGAAUGGCUUCAACACAUAUUGGAUGAUGGUUCUUGCAGCUGACAAUUCCACGAGAGGCAAAGUGACGGAAGUGUUCCAACAAGCCUCCGCAGUUGGAAUGACGGUAGGCAGGACAUGGGCUUUCAAUGACGGCCAAUGGAGAGCUCUCCAAAAAUCUCCCUCUGUUUACGAUGAAGAGGUCUUCAAGGCCCUGGAUUUCGUGGUGAGCGAGGCCAGAAAGUACAAGAUCAGACUUAUACUGUCAUUGGUCAACAACUGGGACGCAUAUGGCGGCAAAGCUCAGUAUGUUAAAUGGGGGAACGCCUCCGGCCUUAAUCUCACCUCUGAUGACGACUUCUUCACCAACCCCACUCUCAGAAACUUCUACCAGUCUCAUGUCCGGACGGUGCUGAAUAGAGUGAACACCUACACAAACAUAACUUACAAGAACGACCCCACAAUCUUCGCCUGGGAACUCAUGAAUGAGCCUCGCUGCCCCUCUGAUCCCUCCGGUGACAAACUCCAGUCCUGGAUACAAGAAAUGGCGGCUUUUGUGAAAAG